Molecule: long non-coding RNA, 2636 nt
Organism: Ruditapes philippinarum (Manila clam)
Lineage: Eukaryota; Metazoa; Mollusca; Bivalvia; Venerida; Veneridae
Exons: 4
Source: RefSeq, a predicted model, not a curated record
AAAAUAGAUAAAUUAUCAAAAUGUUUCAAAAUGGUACGAAAACAUUAUUAAUCAGUUGAUUUAUCGACAUCAGAAAUGUAUUGAACGUAACGGACGCUACUUUUGGACUAUAAGCGAUGUACAACACAUCAGAAAUCUAAGUAACGUCCAGUGACGUCGCUGACGUCAGAAAACACCAUCGUGAUCUUGGGCGGUCACAGUCGGAUGGCAUUGCCUUAUGCGCCCUCAUAUACAGACAGUUUGUCAUACGCGAUUGAAAUUUCAUGUACAAGUGUAUAUUAAAUUGCCGUUUCCAGUCAUGUUAUUUUUAAGAAUUACAUUUGCCUAAAAAGAAAGUUAUAUGCACAGUCUACAAAUGUAUUAAAAUCCCCUCGUAAUAACGGAGUAGAUGCGUCUGGACGUCUACAGCUGAUCUUGUUAUCCGGAUUGUCGUCUUCAAAUGACAUUCCAUAAUAUAUCUAAGUUAUGAUAAAUAAUACUUGUUUUAAGAAAUGAAUUGUAUUUUUUUUAAAUGUACAUACAAUCAUAAUAUAUUCACGAUAGAUCAAUCCCGUUUCAAAAUGCAACUACGUGUAUUUGUAUCUUGUUUAUCUGCCCUAUUUUAGUUUGUUGAUUCUCUUCAUGAGAUAAACCUAUGUUCAUAACAUACUACCUGCUUCUGUUUUAUUAGAUAGAUAUGAAUAAGGAAAAACAAGAUUUAGAGCAGCUAAAAAAAAGAACAGAUCAGUGUUUGUUUGAUCUAAUAAUCAUUAUAUAAAUAUAGAAACUGACACGCGCAAUAAAUUUAGUAAACAAACAAACAGCUGAGUGUAGGAGGAAAGUAAGUGAUUUGCAUUGUUAAGUUCGAAGAAGAUCGAUAAAAUUUUUAAGUUAUUGUAUGGACUACUAUUGACGCAAAAUUAGAUAUGUCAAACGAAUGACCAAAAUAUACAGCUUACCCUGGAACAGAAAAAAUGGAAUGGAAUUGUACUAAAAUCAUAAAUUAUAAGUUUGCAUCAAAAUCAGACCUCAUUGUACUUUAUAAAAAGAGAUGUCAGUUAAGAAAACGUUCUAACGGAGCAAAAUGCUUGUCUCGUUCUGAAUUGAAAGCAGAGACAAAUUCGAGACAAAUGAUUGCAAGCGACAUAUGUGCGGAAUACUCCACUCAUUUGUACACAAGUGUGAACGACGCUUCAAACGUAAUGCUGAAUAAAAGAACACUUGGCAGAGGGGAUAUUUAACUUUCCCAGACAUUGCUGAAUUUAAAAUGUGUAGUACGGGGCUAACAAAACAAGUGCGACAGUUUUUAUUGAAUAUUAUAUUAUGAGUUAAAAAAAAUGACUCUAUGUUAACAUAACUUGAAUUGACUAAAUACUAUUGCUUGUGUUCUUCCUAGAAAUGAGUAUCCGCAACAGGUUUCCUCUGAGCAAGCAAGUGAAGACAGGAGUGAAAUUGCCUUUUCAAACGGACCCUCGUUUCCAACUCAUGCACAUAAGUACUCCAUGAACUCGGAGAUACCUUUUGUCAGAGAUGGAUGUUUAAACCCGUUUAAAAGGCUACCAUCUUUACAUAAUGGAGUGACCGGAGCUACCGUAAGACUAACUCACCAAGCCAGACAUCCUAUGUAUGCUGAGUACGGUGAAAGACUUAGAUCCUUUGCUAGAUGGACUCGUUCAAAUCCUGAUCCAGUUUGUCUUUGCAACGCAGGAUUCUUCUUUACAAAUGAAGGAGAUCUAGUGCGAUGUUUCAGUUGUGGCAUAGGCCUAAAGGACUUUACAGAUCGUGAUGAUCCUUUGCUGGAACACGUCAGAAAUUCUGGAAAUUGUCUGUACCUCCUUCCAUAAAGGGCUAGCUGUCAGAAACCACAAAAAAUUCAAGGAAGUAAGUAAUAUCUGGGGUUUUUUUUGUGUUUUGUUGCGUUGCUAUUUAAGUCACACCGACAUUUAGCAAUUUACCAUCUGUACUAGUGAAGGAGGACCCCGAAUGCCACUUCGUGCAUUAUUUCAGGUAAGAGCGGGCACCUGAAUAGAACCACCUGCGUUCCGUAAGCUAGCUGGAUAGCUUGUUAACAAGAAAGAAUCAAAAGCAUCUGACGGAACUCAAAAUCAAAGCGGUGAAGAGCAAGUGAUUAUAAAUCAGCGUCCUUAACGUCUCCAAAUUAUUGAACCAGUGUCCAAAAAAGACAAACUUGUAUUGAAUGUUUUAGGAGCUUAUAAAGAGUAACAAUAUUCCAAAGAAUUCAAUGUCCAUGAUGUGAUUCGGCACAACAGCGAUUGGGAUCUUAAACUUCUCGGUCGAGGACGCCCACUUUCAUGUAAAUCAGUUUUUAAGUGCAUGCAAUAAUAAUGCGAGUUUGUGCAUAAGAAUAGAACCAAACAAACAAUUUACAUAAAAGUAAUGUACAUAUAUAAAAAUCUCAAAACAAAUGUAAUAAUUUCCUUCUUCGGCUUAAGUUAAGACGGAAGUUUUCACAAUAAAAGUGAAAAAAAUUGAGUAUAGCACGUGUAAAAACAGAAACAUUAGGAUGUUUUAAAGCUUAAGGAACAAUACGUGCUACUAAAUACAUAAAGAAAUAACACUACCUUAUGCAUUAAAUGUCAAAAGGAAGGAAAUAUAAUACGUUAAGUCAAGUUUAAUCGAAAAAAAAUGUUGUAUGU